AUGACUGGUGUUGUUCGGGGUAGACGUAUCAGUGCACAAACAGUCCGUAGAAGACUCCGGUCUUUUAAUCUUCGUCCUAGACGUGCUUAUAGGGGAUCUACACUGAUACAACGACACAGACAAGAGCGGUUAAGAUGGUGUCAAGCUCGUUUACGAUGGAGACUCAAUAAUGAAUGGAGCAAUAUUUUGUUUUCUGAUGAGUCCAGAUUCACUCUCCAGCAUUCAGAUGGUCGAGCAAGAGUUUAUAGACGAUCAGGUGAAAGAUUUGCAGAUUGUUGCGUCCAACAGCAUGACAGAUUUGGUGGUGGUAGUGUCAUGGUUUGGGGUGGCAUAUAUACGCGUAACCGGACUAAUCUCGUGAUAGUCAAUGGAACACUAAAUGCCCAACGCUAUAGGGAUGAAAUUCUGUCAACGGAAGUGGUUAAUUUCAUUAACAGAUAUGGACCUGGAAUAACAUUUCAGCAUGACAAUGCCCGUCCCCACACUGCUCGUGUUUCAAAUGCCUACUUGCAGCAACAAAACAUCGAUGUGUUGCCAUGGCCAUCGAAAUCUCCAGACAUGAAUCCCAUCGAGCACAUAUGGGAUGAACUGAACCGCAGAGUUCGCUCAAGGCAACGCCAACCUGUUACACUGCAAGAUUUGUCCCAAGCAUUACAACAGGAGUGGAACAACAUGCCUCAGGCUAAAAUUUCCAAAAUUGUCUUGUCUAUGCGACGUAGGCUCCAAGCAGUAAUUAAUGCCAAUGGUGGACACACGAGAUAUUGACUUUUCAAACUGUAAACAUCUGAUGAAACGUACUGUUAUUCCAGAUUUUUGAUCUCAUCUGUUGUUUUUGAAAUUGUGCCAAAACUGUUACUCCGCUGUACUUUAUUUUUUUAGUAUGCAUAAUUCAUUGUCAGUCAUUCAUACAUUUGUUAUUGUUAAUUUUUUAUAAAACCUAUUUCUUGACAAUUUGAUAAUAAAUAAGUGUAUCUUUUUUUUCCAUGUUAUUAUUUGUUAAUGUUUUUUUCAUAUCUGAUAAGCUACAUUGAUUAGUAACCAGUAAUUACAUUAUGUAACUGCUACACACCAUAAAACAAAUUAAUUAUUAUCAAAGCACUUCAUGAUUGUCUAAUAUUUAAACUUCCGAAUUGUCCUACACACAUAUUCUCGAUUGUCCCACAAAAUUUCAUUACUUUUUACCUGUAAUUUCAAAAAGUGGGACAAUCGUGAAGACACCAUAAAGACAGAUGAUUGUAUUAUCGUGUGUAUUUUAUAAGAAUAAAAGACGUGUUGAAGGACACAGAUGUACAUGAAAUUCAUAUUCCAUAGACAGUAAAACUCAGAUUGUUGGAAGUUGCAUGGUAAAUGAUGUAUGGUGGUACAUUGUAGAACUUUUUUUUUAUUCUUUUUUUAAUUUUUAUUGGGAGAAAAAGUCCUGCUGAGAUAUCAAUAGCAAUUUAUAAAAAAACACAAUUAUUUACAAUGAAGUCAAUUAAAAAUCAGCCUUUUCGACGAAUUAUCAAAAAAUAGUGUAAUGUAUUUCAAAAUGGAUCUCGUCAAUACAGACACUGCAGUAAAUCGUACAACAAUGUAUUGUUCUUGGUUGACGAUGAUUAUAAAAAAGAAUAAAAAAGAAUUUCAUCAGGGGUCUAGUUUUUAUAAUAAAUUGUAACAUUUUAAAAUUUUUAAUAGUCUAAAGAUAGGUUCCAUGUAUUCACUGUUCAGCUUAUAAAGUUCCGCUUAAAAUGUUCAUGUAACUUAUUGUCGUUGAAAUUAUAUUUUCAGACAAUACUUUUACUGCUGGCAUCAAUCAAAAUGUUUCUUUAACAUGGACGACAAGUUUCACAGAUUUUUUCAGUGCCAUUCCGCCCGUAAAGUCGAAAGUUAUAUAUGUAGUACAAGGCGGCUCUCUCUCUUCCAAUUCUAAAGACGGAAAAUACGUAUUUGACAAUACGACACGGGAUGUGAAAGCCAUAAACAUUACAGUUAUUCGUGUGAAUAAGACUGAUGCCGGGCUAUACAGAACGGAGGAAGGAGCAACUGGGCAUGUGUACGGGUGCUGUUUGUUAAUUGUAACAGGUAUGAUAUAAACAUUAAAUUCCUUUCAUCAAAAUGUGUAUUUCGGUUUAAAUUUUAAGGCCACUAAUUGCUAUCAUGAUCAAAUGAAUGUUAUGUUCUUAAAACAAAUCAGUCAUCUUAAUGAAAACAUUAUUAACUUCUGUAUGAAUGACAACCGCCAAUGAAAUUAUUAAUUCCAUGAUUUCGCGCGUCCGAAUUGCUUUUCGAGUGUCACAUGACAGUCAUAAAAAAAUAUUUGAAAGCCAGGUGUAUAAAUACGCAAAUACUUCAAGCCAUUUUACCAGAAGAAUCUGAGAUUUAUAGCCUAAUUUUUCUACCUCUUAAGGUAAACCUUGCAAUUGGGUGUUUUUAAUUUGUUGAUAUAGGGUAUUGUACAAUCAUGGUACAAGUUUACUAGGUUAAUUUUUUUUAGUUUUUUUUUCAAACCCUCGGGGUAAUAAAAUCACAUAUUCUGUCCGUUUGUUUUUUGGUUUGCUGUUUACCAACCUUUCUAAAUAUGUAACAAAACAAGAAAAAAUAUUUGCAAAUUCAAUUGAUGACGUGAUAACAUUUUUAAAAACUUUCGUUUCCUAUUCAAGAAGCAAAAGUUGCAUCGCAAAAAACAUAAAUACAGUAAGUUGUGUUUGCCGGAAUAGCAAAAUUGUAUUAUAAUUGUAUCAGCGCUUAAUUUUUCUCUACAAAAAAAAAGAAAUAUAUCUUGUAAGUAAAAAUAUGAUAUUUUUACUUGAAAUCCUUGCAUCGAUAAUGUUAAUGAUAUAAACUAUAGGACAAAGGAAUUAGAAGAAAAACCCGAGAAAAAUAGCAUUAAAACCAGGAAUUUUGCAUUAUAAUGUAGUCAUCAAAACUUAUUUCUGAAGUUAUAAUCUUAACUGUGUUUAAUUGCACAAUUGAAGUUUUUCCUAAAUGAUUAAAAUCGAACUUUCUUAUGAUUUAGGGGGAAAACUUUUUUUUAUGCAUAUAUAUUAAAGUAGUACUUUCUUAAAACUUCAGUAUUUAUUAUCGAUCUUUGAACAGUAUAUUGUAUUUUUUUGUGGGGUUUGAACAUAUUUUACUUCUUAUAAUAUGGUACGUCAACCCUGAGUUGUACAGGGGAGCAACUAUUGCAUUCUUAUUUGUCGUAAAAUACUCCCAUAUCAAAUAAAUGACCAUCUUUCUAUAUAAUUACCAAGUAUCAUUAUAUUUAUACAUUACACCAUAUAUACUCAUUUGAACAAGGUAGUCAUACAACUGUAUGUUUUUCUUAUAAAACCAACCUGUAUAUAAUAUACAAAUCAUUUUCGAUUUUACAUUACGUCAUUCCGUUCCUUUGUUAUAACAUUCCAGUCGAAUGAUCUUUUUUCUCGUACUACUCGUAAUUAAUUCAUAAAAACUGUUUUUUUAGUUGGUCGGGUUGUUGUCUCUUCGACACAUUCCCCAUUUCCAUUCUCAAUUUUAUAAAAGAAGUAUUUAUAACUUUGUUUUCCAAAAGGAAUUAUUUCAGAGAUAUGGUGAGUAAAGAUAUUUCUGUUGAUACAACUUAUCUUUGUUACAAGUAUAGAAGAGACACUUAUACACAAUAUACAAUACAUAAGGAGUGUUGAAUGCAAUGUAUAUGAUAUUUUUUUUUCAAUUUUGAAGUGGUCAUAACACUAACAUGACAACACACAAAUUUAGGUCAAACACAUAUAUAAUAAUGAAAACCAUAAAUAAAAUAUAUGAAACAAAUAUUAUAGCUGGGAUUAUUUCGUUUAAGUUUCGUGUUAAGUCUUCAUGCAUUUGAACAGGUUGCAUAUUUUGUUUACCACAGUGAAAGCGAUUUGAUUAAUAUAUGAUUUUAAUGCAUAUAUGUAUUUUCCUGCACUUUAAACCAAUAUAUAUUUUGGCUGAAGUAGACAGGAAUUAGUUCACUCAACAAAAUCAUCUAUUUUCACAGGGAUAUGUUUUAUGUAUGCCAAAACCCAAAAUAUUGAAAUUGGGUUUGAAACGUCACUUCCAGUGUCAAAUGGUAGCUUAUUGUAAGCUGAUAUUUUUUUUUUAUAUGGUUUCGAUACAAGUUUGUUUGAAAUAAAAAGAGACAAUUUCUUACUUCCGGUUUGAAAAAUGUCACUUUCAGUAUUAUCUGAUAGUUAACCUAACACUGAUUCCAAAAAAUAUAUAAUUCGACAUACAUUUGGCUGGAAACAUAAUGCCAUCGUGUAUCGUGUAUACAUAUGAAGUUAAAGAAAAGGUCAAAAUCUCGAACGUCCCAAUUGCACAUGAUCAUGAUUGACCUAAAUUUUAAGGUUAUCAACAUAGAACCUUAUAUCAAAAGACCCUAGGUCUUUAUCAUAUAUGGUUAAUGAGUUAUAUCACCACUCGCAUAACUUUAAUCAUAAGAGGUGAAAAAACUGCUAUUUAAUGUCAACGUACCCUUUCAAUCAAAAUUUAUGUUUUACGACAUAUAGCAAGUUACAAUUUAGCAAAAAAUGUUGUUGAUAUCUUACAAGAGUUUUGAAAUGAAGUCAUGAUCUUGACCUUAGACCUUGACCUAAUUUCUUUUUGAUUGGAUCAAAGACUUUAAAUCAAGACUCUAAUUAUCUAUCACUUAUGGUUUACCAGUUACAAUUCCAUUUCACCUAUUACAAAUACAGAAAUGGAAAUAACUCUCAUAUGGAGGCUACAGAACGCUUCGGUCAAAAUUAUUCUUAAGAUCCUGAGGAUAUAACGAGUAAAUUUAGUUAAAUAAUUUUCUCGGAUUCGUUUAUGAUUGCAAAGGAUAUGCGCACACAAGAAAAACAUGGUUCUGUUAAACAUGUUCAGUUUCAGUCGCAAUAACUGUUCGAUAUCAUAAAACAAUAUAAGCGACAUCUUACGAAACAACCAAACACUGGCCACGGAAGAAGAAAAACAUAAUAACCAGAACCAAGUCAAUUGGUCGUUCCCCAGAAAAGUGGAAAGACAUGCAAACAGACCAGUGCCGUUGCAUUUAUCCUCUAUCAAAUUCGAGGAAACCAAUUCUGAACAAAAAAAAUUACAAAAAUAUAUAUUGCUAAUUUCUAACCUAUAUACUAUGACACUUAUUACAAUAUGAUUUUUAAUUUACAUAUGUUAUUCAACUGGCAUUUAUAUAACAAAUGAAUAUGAAAAAUACCAAGAGCAUAUCUAGUAGAAAUGCAUCACAGUGAAAGUAAUUUCAAUGUAAAAGAAUAGCAAACCUAGUUUUGAAAGUAGUUUGAAUGUUUAACAACAUACAAUUACUACACAAUAUUUUAUAUAUGAAUAUAUACAUUAUAAUUAACAUUAACAUUUCAGCAAAACCUGUUAAACCAACAGUAACCAUUCAUCCUGAGCAUCCAUUUGUCGGUGACAACAUUACCAUUUUUUGUGAGUCAAUGGUUCAACGUUGGCCUGGAUAUUUUCCUUCACACCUGUUAUAUCACUUUAUUGGGAAAAAAAGAGGAGAAUCCAACAACAAUAGAUUAACAAUGAACAAAAUUACGAAGAUGGAUAAUGGAACGACCAUAUCAUGCCAGGCAACUGAUAAUCUUGGAAAAAGAUCGAUGAUGGGUGAUAGUGUAACAUUAGACCCAUACU
Molecule: small RNA, 5613 nt
Filed under: Mytilus galloprovincialis (Mediterranean mussel)
Lineage: Eukaryota; Metazoa; Mollusca; Bivalvia; Mytilida; Mytilidae
Source: RNAcentral